AUGCAGUCGAGGGGCAGCAUGAUUUGUAGCAAUACAGAUUGAUGGCGACCGGCGCACGGGUGAGUAACGCGUAUGCAACUUACCUAUCAGAGGGGGAUAGCCCGGCGAAAGUCGGAUUAAUACCCCAUAAAACAGGGGUCCCGCAUGGGAAUAUUUGUUAAAGAUUCAUCGCUGAUAGAUAGGCAUGCGUUCCAUUAGGCAGUUGGCGGGGUAACGGCCCACCAAACCGACGAUGGAUAGGGGUUCUGAGAGGAAGGUCCCCCACAUUGGUACUGAGACACGGACCAAACUCCUACGGGAGGCAGCAGUGAGGAAUAUUGGUCAAUGGCCGAGAGGCUGAACCAGCCAAGUCGCGUGAAGGAAGAAGGAUCUAUGGUUUGUAAACUUCUUUUAUAGGGGAAUAAAGUGGAGGACGUGUCCUUUUUUGUAUGUACCCUAUGAAUAAGCAUCGGCUAACUCCGUGCCAGCAGCCGCGGUAAUACGGAGGAUGCGAGCGUUAUCCGGAUUUAUUGGGUUUAAAGGGUGCGUAGGUGGUGAUUUAAGUCAGCGGUGAAAGUUUGUGGCUCAACCAUAAAAUUGCCGUUGAAACUGGGUUACUUGAGUGUGUUUGAGGUAGGCGGAAUGCGUGGUGUAGCGGUGAAAUGCAUAGAUAUCACGCAGAACUCCGAUUGCGAAGGCAGCUUACU
RNAcentral lists this ribosomal RNA (686 nucleotides) under uncultured bacterium. RNAcentral describes it as "bacterial SSU rRNA". It matches the Rfam family "Bacterial small subunit ribosomal RNA", at positions 55 to 730 of the family's 1533-position model. The record is from RNAcentral.